RNAcentral lists this transfer RNA (72 nucleotides) under Bos taurus (domestic cattle). It matches the Rfam family "tRNA". From Rfam's summary of the family: Transfer RNA (tRNA) molecules are approximately 80 nucleotides in length. Their secondary structure includes four short double-helical elements and three loops (D, anti-codon, and T loops). Lineage: Eukaryota; Metazoa; Chordata; Mammalia; Artiodactyla; Bovidae. The record is from Rfam by way of RNAcentral. RNAcentral also lists the same sequence under 5 other names.
UCCUUUAUAGCUCAGUCAGUAAAGAAUCUGCCUGCAAUGCAGGGGACCUGGGUUCGAUUCCUGGAUCAGGAA